This 490-nucleotide ribosomal RNA is filed under the name uncultured bacterium. RNAcentral's name for it is "partial 16S ribosomal RNA". It matches the Rfam family "Bacterial small subunit ribosomal RNA", at positions 30 to 507 of the family's 1533-position model. The record is from RNAcentral.
AUUGAACGCUGGCGGCAGGCCUAACACAUGCAAGUCGAACGGUAACAGGAAGAAGCUUGCUUCUUUGCUGACGAGUGGCGGACGGGUGAGUAAUGUCUGGGAAACUGCCUGAUGGAGGGGGAUAACUACUGGAAACGGUAGCUAAUACCGCAUAACGUCGCAAGACCAGAGAGGGGGACCUUCGGGCCUCUUGCCAUCGGAUGUGCCCAGAUGGGAUUAGCUAGUAGGUGGGGUAACGGCUCACCUAGGCGACGAUCCCUAGCUGGUCUGAGAGGAUGACCAGCCACACUGGAACUGAGACACGGUCCAGACUCCUACGGGAGGCAGCAGUGGGGAAUAUUGCACAAUGGGCGCAAGCCUGAUGCAGCCAUGCCGCGUGUAUGAAGAAGGCCUUCGGGUUGUAAAGUACUUUCAGCGGGGAGGAAGGGAGUAAAGUUAAUACCUUUGCUCAUUGACGUUACCCGCAGAAGAAGCACCGGCUAACUCCGUG